This is a long non-coding RNA of Lytechinus pictus (painted urchin), 3151 nucleotides long. RefSeq lists it as uncharacterized. The record is from RefSeq and is a predicted model, not a curated record. NCBI's taxonomy places the organism in Eukaryota, Metazoa, Echinodermata, Echinoidea, Temnopleuroida, Toxopneustidae. The transcript has 3 exons.
AACGUGGAAACAUUCGUGCCUUGUGGUUUUUUAACGUGUUCCAUCCAAAAUUAGAUAGAUAUUCGUGGGAAAAUGUGAGUGUGGUCGUUUUUUUCAUUUUGUGGAGAUGUUGUGCACACCUGUUGGGCAGCUUAUGUCAUUUUGGGUGAUCCAUAGCAUGUUUGCAUACAGGUUGUCUUAGUUCAAGGAAUAUCCCGGACCUUCAUUUAGAACACUAUUCUUUUAUUCGACAAGUGCCUCGUCUGACCUUGGGGAGUGAAUCCGUCCAUUGGAAGUGGGAGACCGACUUUCCGUCACAAUGACGUCACGACCCUGUAUGCUUCCCAGGAGUCUACCGGGGACCAAGAGUAUCCAUAUCCGCGGUUUAUCCGCCGCCUGCCCUCGAUGGAGACUUGGAGGUGUAAACGAACAUGACAUCAUACCGGGCAGUAUGUAUGAAGUUCAGGUUCCACCAAUGGCCAGUUUGUUAUUUUGAGAAGAAACUUAUGCUCGAAACGGAUCAUGGAACAUUGCUGAAUGGGGAAGGUUCUUUGUUCGACCCUCAAAUUGCCGAAACUGUCGCUGUAAUUCGUCAUUUUACGUUAAAAUUCGUAUUAUGUUAUAGAUCUAUUCAUAGAACCCCUUCUCCACUGAAAUUCAAGAGUGAACUGGAUGUCGUAUGGGGAUUGCAAAAAACUUGCGGUUAAUUCCUCAUCAAGUGUAAGUCAAAAUUUGAUCGCUAAUGCUGUGAUUAAAUGUAAAGUUGUAGUUGAUUUGCACUCGAUUGCUACUCAACUUUUUCGGAACGCCCCAUUACCCUUACACUUCGUUCACAAUCGAACAUUUUUUGCACCGCCCAAAUACCCAAUUAUGAUUCAUUUUUAUUCCGUUAUACUGCGUCUUACACCGAAGUAAGAAAUCACCGACUUCGGUCAGUUGCAGCAUGGACCUGAAAGGUCCAUGGUUACAGCAAGGAAAAUUCCAUAACAUUAGUAUUUUUUCAUGGUCGAAAAAAAUCUGCCUUUGGUCAUAUAGCACUAAUGUCAUCUAAUGGCUGAAUUAGAGGUUGAAGGUCGUUGAACCUUCACUUGUAUUUCAGAUAGUUCAUCGAAAGUAUGCCUUAAUUUGAACAAGUGGUUUGUCCGAAGAAAAAAAAUUUAAAAAUCUGGUUCGUAAAUUACUUUACAAGACUCGCUGAUAUCAGUAGGUCUGAUGCCACUGAUAUUUCAGAGAUAGUUCAUCGAUAAUGAACAAGUGGUUUUCUGAAGAAUUAGAAUUUAAAUCUGGUUCAUACAUUACAUUGCAAGACUCGCUCUUUAGGUCUCAUACCUUCAUUUUGAUUGAUUUCUUUGGCCUACGUCAUCCUGGGUGGAGAAUUACUUUAUCAAAAUUACGUUUAAUUCGUUAGCCAUUCCGUGUUCAUUGGCGUUCUCUUUAUAAAUUAACUAUGGAAUAUUCUUUAACCUCCUUGGUAAUGAGUUUAUAGGUCGAGAGUUGCAGCUUAGGAUCAGUCGAUAUCGUUGUCCUGAAGCUAUGGCACAACGUUAUACUUUACAGCUAUCCUGUGGUUUUCAUUUAUAGGGGCGUUUAUGAUUCAUUAUUGCAUUUUUCUCUAUUGAAUAAAAAAUUGUAACAGUUUCAUAUCAUUGGCACUGAAAAAAAUUCCCAAACGAUAAUUCAUUUGGUGCUGUUGAGAAACGUUUGGCUUGCCAUAAUCAUCCCAGUCGUUCGUCUUGCCGCGUAUGGGUAAUAUUACGAAACAGCUCUAUGGUCAUUAAAUUAAUAAGUUGUUUGAUGAAUUACAGUAAUGAUGAUAAAUUAUGUGGUUUUUGUCUCGCCUGCAUAGCAUAGCGAGACUAUAGGCACGUGUAGGCGCCGCUUUUCCGACGGCGGCGGCAGCGCCAACAUUGAAAUCUUAACCUAAGGUUAAGUUUUUGAAAUGACAUCAUAACUUAAGAAGUAUAUGAAUCUAGUUUAUGAAACUUGAACAUAACGGUGAUACAGUAUUACUAUCAUCCUGCCUGAGUUUUAGGACACAUGACCACGGUCAAAGGUCAUUUAGGGUAAAUGAACUUUAGCCAUGUUAGGGGUAUAUGUUGAAUUACCAUCAUAACUCUGAUAUUUUAUGGAUCUAGUUCAUGAAACUUAAACCUAAGCGUAAUAAAGUAACAUUAAACAUCCCGUGUGAGUUUUAGGUCAUAUGAUCAAGGUCAAAGGUCAAUUAAAGUCAAUGAACUUUGGCCAUGUUGGGGUACUUGUUGAAUUGCCAUCAUAACUGGGCGUAGGGGUAAUCAAGUAUCUCUGACAAGUCUUAGGUCACAUGAUCAAGGUCAAAUUUCACUUAGUGUCAAUGAACGUAGUAUUGUAUCAUUAUACGAAUGGAGUUUUUUUUAAUAAUUAUUUCAUAGUAGUUUUCAAAGUCAGCACUGCUGCUAUAUUGAGUCGCGUAAUGCAUGUGAGACUGCCAGAGGCGCUCCACUUGUUUUUAAAUCAUAAGUUAUAAUAUAUAAUUCAACGGGGGCUGAAAUAAGAUACAAUCUGUUUAGUACUCAUAUUCGCUCUUUUUGUGAUUUGUAUUUGUGUCUACUUUGUUCUGGUUCGGUCUGGUUUGGUCUGAUUCGUAUGUUCAAUAAAUAUUGGAAGAUAAAAAAAUGAUAAGCAACAUUGUGUACUUUUUUCAGUUCAAUUGAUGUUUAUAAUGUAAAAUCGGGCUUUCACAUAAGAUAUGCUACCCUAUUUUGUUGGAUGAUGUUAAUAGAAUGUUAAUCCCGAGUGGAUUGAUAUGAGCCUUGCCCUCCUGAAGUUCCGUAAACUAAGACAUGACCCAGCCGCUUGCUUGUUCCAACUGAACCCAAUUUUUAUAGGGACGUCCUACAUUUAUAACUAAUAAAAGUAGAUAUUUUGCUAAACAUAAUUAUGCACACGAUAUUCAUAUUCUGAUGGUGACGUUAAAGGUCGGUCCCAGACGUAAAUAAUCAUAUCUGAUUGAUACACGUCUGACAAAACUCAAAUACACACAAGUCAUAUUUGGAUUUUGAAUUUAGAAAAUAGAUGGCAACGAGUCGAGCAACUCGUCGGCGUAGAGCAAUGGGAUAAUCCUUGUGAUUACAUUGGCAAGGAUUUCAAGUUUGAAUUUCGGGAAAAAACAAGCCCACGACUUCAGGCCUGAAUC